Molecule: long non-coding RNA, 667 nt
Organism: Thrips palmi
Lineage: Eukaryota; Metazoa; Arthropoda; Insecta; Thysanoptera; Thripidae
Exons: 2
Source: RefSeq, a predicted model, not a curated record
GCGCCGCCAACGCCUUCCCUUUGACGGCGGCUUACUGGGCCACGACUCUACCCAGGGCCCUGGGCCUUCACUUCACCAGGGUGGUGGUGACCCUGCCGAGCCGCCAGUGGGAAGGGCGAGGGGUGGAGUACGUGUAUGCCGCAGUGGCUCGCGCCAGGGGGUGGAGAGGCCUGGCCUUCGACGGAGAGGAGGUGCCCCAGCAGGGGCCGUCGGGGAUAACGGACUACGGUGCAGGGGGACUGUUCUGGGAGUACAUUGACGAGUUUCAAGUGGACGAGCCGGGGCAACUUGAGGACGAGGAGCCGGAGGAUGACGGGGAGCCGCGGAACGAGUAGUCUGGUGAGCUGGGAAUUUCAGGUGGUAGCGUGCAAUUCUUAUUGUUAUUCCCUACCCUGGACACCUCUGCAAAACAUUCAGCAAUAUGGGUGUGUUAAAAAAAGAGAAGUAACAUUCUUCAAAUUAUUUUUUUAGUAAGACUGAAGUAUAAACAUUACAAACAGGGCAUUAGAAUAUAGAAAGUAAAGGAGAUGAAGAUAACACACAGCAGACAGAUUGGGUUUGGCAAAGUUCUUCUGCAUCAAUUAGUUACACAUCACAAAAUUAACUCACUUUCCAACUUCAUUGCCCUUCAAAGCAUUGGAAAAUAUGGUAAGUCUAAAAUCAACAA